GAAGCGAAAGUACGAGCUUGGCCGGCAGCCGGCGAACACGAAGCUGUCGAGCAACAAGACGGUGCGGAGGGUCCGGGUCCGCGGCGGCAACGUCAAGUGGCGCGCGCUCCGUCUCGAUACCGGUAACUUCUCGUGGGGGAGCGAGGCGGUGACGAGAAAGACUCGCAUUCUGGAUGUGAUGUACAACGCUUCGAACAAUGAGCUCGUGAGGACGAAGACUCUGGUUAAGAGUGCUAUAGUGGAGGUUGAUGCCGCACCGUUCAAGCAGUGGUAUCUUCAGCAUUAUGGGGUUGAGAUUGGAAGGAAGAAGAAGACGGCGGCGGCGGCCGCAGCUGCCAAGAAGGAGACAACUGAGGGAGGAGAAGGUGAUGCAACUGCCGAGACAGUGAAAAAGAGCAGCCAUGUUACACGGAAGCUGGAAAAGCGGCAGAAGGAUAGGUCACUUGAUUCCUCCAUUGAGGAUCAAUUUGGAGGAGGGAGGUUGUUGGCUGCCAUCUCUUCACGCCCAGGUCAAUGUGGCAGGGCUGACGGAUACAUAUUGGAGGGAAAGGAGUUUGAGUUUUACUUCAAGAAACUCCAGAAGAAGAAGGGUGGUAAGAGUGGUGGUGCUGCCUGAGUUAUGAUAGUCGAUUUAAUUUGACUGGUUUUGCACUGUUGAGGUCUUCUCUCUUCUUGUUUUGGUUAAGGUUGUGAAAGCAUUGGGCCAUUGGUCUUAGUAUUGAACUAAAGAUCUGUUGGUAUAUUUAUUAUCUGUGUUGUUUUUGAUGUUGUAAUGGACUCUGAGCAAACAAAAU
Molecule: unclassified non-coding RNA, 794 nt
Filed under: Hevea brasiliensis (rubber tree)
Lineage: Eukaryota; Viridiplantae; Streptophyta; Magnoliopsida; Malpighiales; Euphorbiaceae
Source: RNAcentral